GCGUAGAUAUCAGAAGGAAUACCAAUGGCUCAGGCAGCUCUCUGGCUCGUCACUGACGCUGAGGUGCGAAAGCGUGGGUAGCAAACAGGAUUAGAUACCCUGGUAGUCCACGCCGUAAACGAUGAGAACUAGCCGUUGGGCAGAUUUAACUGUUCAGUGGCACAGCUAACGCAUUAAGUUCUCCGCCUGGGGAGUACGGCCGCAAGGCUAAAACUCAAAUGAAUUGACGGGGGCCCGCACAAGUGGUGGAGCAUGUGGUUUAAUUCGAUGCAACGCGAAGAACCUUACCAACCCUUGAAAUCUAGCGAAGUUCACAGAGAUGAGAAUGUGCCUUCGGGAACGCUAUGACAGGUGUUGCAUGGCUGUCGUCAGCUCGUGUCGUGAGAUGUAUGGUUAAGUCCAGUAACGAGCGCAACCCCUAUCCUUAUUUGCCAGCGCGUUAAGGCGGGAACUAUAGGGAGACUGCCGGGUGAAACCCGGAGGAAGGCGGGGACGAGGUCAAGUCAUCAUGGCCCUUAUGGGUUGGGCUACACACGUGCUACAAUGGGAAGUACAGAGGGAUGCGAAAGCGCGAGCUGGAGCCAAACCCUUAAAACUUUUCUUAGUCCGGAUUGGAGUCUGCAACUCGACUCCAUGAAGUCGGAAUCACUAGUAAUCGCGAAUCAGAAUGUCGCGGUGAAUACGUUCUCGGGCCUUGUAGA
This 701-nucleotide ribosomal RNA is filed under the name uncultured bacterium. Its description in RNAcentral is "bacterial SSU rRNA". It matches the Rfam family "Bacterial small subunit ribosomal RNA", at positions 688 to 1387 of the family's 1533-position model. The record is from RNAcentral.